GGUGGUCUAGUGGUUAGAGUGUCUGCCUCGAAUGCAGGAGGUCGUGGUUCAAUCCCUGGUAGAUUCA
Molecule: non-coding RNA, 67 nt
Organism: Potamilus streckersoni
Lineage: Eukaryota; Metazoa; Mollusca; Bivalvia; Unionida; Unionidae
Source: the annotation of a GenBank genome assembly